CUCGUAGGCGGCUCGGUAAGUCAACUGUGAAAGCUCCGGGCUCAACUCGGAGAGGCCAGUUGAUACUGCCGUGGCUAGAGUCCGGUAGGGGAGCGUGGAAUUCCUGGUGUAGCGGUGAAAUGCGCAGAUAUCAGGAGGAACACCAGCGGCGAAGGCGGCGCUCUGGGCCGGAACUGACGCUGAGGAGCGAAAGCGUGGGUAGCAAACAGGAUUAGAUACCCUGGUAGUCCACGCCGUAAACGUUGGGCACUAGGUGUGGGUCUCAACCAACGAGAUCCGUGCCGUAGCUAACGCACUAAGUGCCCCGCCUGGGGAGUACGGCCGCAAGGCUAAA
This 334-nucleotide ribosomal RNA is filed under the name uncultured bacterium. Its description in RNAcentral is "bacterial SSU rRNA". It matches the Rfam family "Bacterial small subunit ribosomal RNA", at positions 568 to 898 of the family's 1533-position model. The record is from RNAcentral.